RNAcentral lists this small nucleolar RNA (107 nucleotides) under Capsicum annuum. Its description in RNAcentral is "Plant small nucleolar RNA R71". It matches the Rfam family "Plant small nucleolar RNA R71". From Rfam's summary of the family: R71 is a member of the C/D box family of snoRNAs containing the C (UGAUGA) and D (CUGA) box motifs. Multiple nearly identical copies of this snoRNA have been identified in Arabidopsis, and it is thought to function as a 2'-O-ribose methylation guide for 18S ribosomal RNA. The record is from Rfam by way of RNAcentral. Lineage: Eukaryota; Viridiplantae; Streptophyta; Magnoliopsida; Solanales; Solanaceae.
UAAUAGUGAUAAGGACAACUUCUGAGCAUGCCCUUAAAUCUCUCCCAAGUUUGGUAGAGAUUUUCUCCAUCUUUCUGUCCGAAGCUCAAUAUCUCACUCCUUAAUCG